UAAACCAAGGUAAUUAAAUAACAAAAUUACUCGCCAGAGAACUACUAGCCACUGCUUAAAACUCAAAGGACUUGGCGGUGCCCUAGACCCUCCUAGAGGAGCCUGUUCUAUAAUCGAUAAACCCCGAUACACCUCACCCCUUCUAGCCUAUCAGUCUAUAUACCGCCAUCGUCAGCUCACCCCAAUAGGGCCAAAAAGUGAGCAAAAUCAUCUAAACCAUAAAAACGUUAGGUCAAGGUGUAGCAUAUGAAGGGGGAAGCAAUGGGCUACAUUUUCUAUACUAGAACACAACGGAUUGUCUAUUGAAAUAAAGACAUGAAGGAGGAUUUAGUAGUAAAUUAAGAAUAGAGAGCUUAGUUGAAAUAGGCAAUAGGGUGCGUACACACCGCCCGUCACCCUCCUCAAUAAAGUAACCUUCAAUACCUAAUAAGAAUACGCCAAAAAGAGGAGAAAAGUCGUAACAUGGUAAGUGUACUGGAAAGUGCACUUGGACAAUC
Molecule: ribosomal RNA, 497 nt
Filed under: Pseudantechinus bilarni (Sandstone dibbler)
Lineage: Eukaryota; Metazoa; Chordata; Mammalia; Dasyuromorphia; Dasyuridae
Description: partial 12S ribosomal RNA
Rfam family: Bacterial small subunit ribosomal RNA
Source: RNAcentral